This 845-nucleotide ribosomal RNA is filed under the name Pedobacter sp. VTT E-073061. RNAcentral's name for it is "bacterial SSU rRNA". It matches the Rfam family "Bacterial small subunit ribosomal RNA", at positions 49 to 894 of the family's 1533-position model. The record is from RNAcentral. Lineage: Bacteria; Pseudomonadati; Bacteroidota; Sphingobacteriia; Sphingobacteriales; Sphingobacteriaceae.
UAAUACAUGCAAGUCGAACGAGAUUGAAGAGCUUGCUCUUCAUGAAAGUGGCGCACGGGUGCGUAACGCGUAUGCAAUCUACCUUACUCAGGGGGAUAGCCCGGAGAAAUCCGGAUUAACACCGCAUAACAUAAUGAUAUGGCAUCAUAUUAUUAUCAAAUAUUUAUAGGAGUAAGAUGAGCAUGCGUGACAUUAGCUAGUUGGUGAGGUAACGGCUCACCAAGGCGACGAUGUCUAGGGGAUCUGAGAGGAUGACCCCCCACACUGGUACUGAGACACGGACCAGACUCCUACGGGAGGCAGCAGUAAGGAAUAUUGGUCAAUGGAGGCAACUCUGAACCAGCCAUGCCGCGUGCAGGAAGACGGCCCUACGGGUUGUAAACUGCUUUUGUACCGGAAUAAACCCUCUUUCGUGAAAGAGGUUGAAUGUACGGUAAGAAUAAGGAUCGGCUAACUCCGUGCCAGCAGCCGCGGUAAUACGGAGGAUCCAAGCGUUAUCCGGAUUUAUUGGGUUUAAAGGGUGCGUAGGCGGCUUAUUAAGUCAGGGGUGAAAGACGGUGGCUCAACCAUCGCAGUGCCUUUGAUACUGAUGAGCUUGAAUCUACCUGAGGUAGGCGGAAUGUGACAAGUAGCGGUGAAAUGCAUAGAUAUGUCACAGAACACCAAUUGCGAAGGCAGCUUACUAAAGUGGUAUUGACGCUGAGGCACGAAAGCGUGGGGAUCAAACAGGAUUAGAUACCCUGGUAGUCCACGCCCUAAACGAUGAACACUCGAUGUUGGCGAUAUACAGUCAGCGUCUAAGCGAAAGCGUUAAGUGUUCCACCUGGGGAGUACGCCCGCAAGGG